GAUGAACGCUGGCGGCGUGCUUAACACAUGCAAGUCGAACGAUGAAGCCCAGCUUGCUGGGUGGAUUAGUGGCGAACGGGUGAGUAACACGUGAGUAACCUGCCCUUAACUCUGGGAUAAGCCUGGGAAACUGGGUCUAAUACCGGAUAGGAGCGUCCACCGCAUGGUGGGUGUUGGAAAGAUUUAUCGGUUUUGGAUGGACUCGCGGCCUAUCAGCUUGUUUGUGAGGUAAUGGCUCACCAAGGCGACGACGGGUAGCCGGCCUGAGAGGGUGACCGGCCACACUGGGACUGAGACACGGCCCAGACUCCUACGGGAGGCAGCAGUGGGGAAUAUUGCACAAUGGGCGCAAGCCUGAUGCAGCGACGCCGCGUGAGGGAUGACGGCCUUCGGGUUGUAAACCUCUUUCAGUAGGGAAGAAGCGAAAGUGACGGUACCUGCAGAAGAAGCACCGGCUAACUACGUG
Molecule: ribosomal RNA, 466 nt
Filed under: uncultured bacterium
Lineage: Bacteria
Description: partial 16S ribosomal RNA
Rfam family: Bacterial small subunit ribosomal RNA
Source: RNAcentral